Acanthopagrus latus (yellowfin seabream) is the source of this 4025-nucleotide RNA transcript. It is a transcript of the gene named venom phosphodiesterase 1, with no coding region annotated. The record is from RefSeq and is a predicted model, not a curated record. The transcript has 2 exons. Lineage: Eukaryota; Metazoa; Chordata; Actinopteri; Spariformes; Sparidae.
UGACACGGCUUUGGGAAUAUUUUGUCUAAAUAUUGGUGUAGUUGCUUUCAGGGCCCUCCCACGUCAGGAGAACCACAACAAAGAGUAACAGUCGCACAAACUCGAUCCUGAUAAAAAGGACAUUUGGCAGCGAAUGAAUGCCGACUGUAAUCUCACACUGUUAACUGCUGAGGAAGUUUCAGUCUCCUUUCAGACUCUGAGUUUACUGAACUUGUGUGUCCGAUUGUAUCAUGAUUACGUAAUUUGAUCAGACAUGCAAAUACAAUAUAAUAUCACAGUUUGACAACAAAUACACCAAUAACUUCAGCACAGAGACAUUUAUUAGAUUAGAUCUGUGGAAAGUGGGACAGACGCACAUUUAUGCCAUUUUCUGUGACCUGCUUUUGACAACUGACCAUUUGAACGGACUACACAACACUCGCAGUUGUCACAGCGCUGUCGUUGUCAGCCAGGAUUAUUCUGCACUGACUGCCCGUAUUGUUGUUACACCUACUCAACAUUUCAAGUGUCUGUGAAUUGAUUUUCCGUGUGAUAAAUAUAUUUGGCUUCCUGGUUAGAAACUCAUCUCAUGGAUACUCAAACUCAGGAAAAAUUACAUAAUCUAGAAAAGGACUUGAGUAAACUAGAGAGACAACACAAAAAAGAUACCCAACUAGAUAUUACUAAAAAAAUUGGUGAAAUUAAAAGCCAGAUAAAAGAAAUCUAUGAGACAGAUAUUCAGAAGAAAUUAACAUUUUUGAAACAGAGGUACUAUGAAGCGGGCAGUAAAGCAGCAAAAAACUUAGCAUACAAACUAAGAAAACAACAAGCAGAGAGAGCUGUGCAUGAAAUUAAAGACCCAACAACCAAACAAGUGAAGCAUGACUUCCAGGAAAUUUGUAGCUGUUUUGAAGAGUAUUAUAAGAACCUAUACUCCCAGACGGUCCAUGAAGGGGAUAAAUCACCUGAUUCUAUGCUUGCUUCACUCAACCUACCAACAGUUACUGAAGAUCAGAAUAGAAUCUUAACAUCUAAAGUGACCAUGGGGGAACUACAAAAGGCAAUCUCAAGGCUCAAACCAGAUAAGUCCCCAGGUUCAGAUGGGUUCACCUCAGGCUGGUACAAAACAUUUAGUGACUGUUUAUCCCCAGUAUUAUUGAGAACACUCAAUUGGGUCUUAGAGAAAGGAGAGAUGCCCCCCUCCUGGAAGGAAGCAAUUAUCACCGUAAUUCCAAAAGAAGGAAAAGAUAAGACUGAUUGCUCUAAUUUCCGCCCUAUUAGUCUUUUGAAUCAGGAUUACAAAAUCUUCACAUCAAUUUUAGCAAAACGUCUAGAAAACAUACUCCCAGAUAUUAUACAGCUAGAUCAAACAGGUUUUAUCAGACAAAGGCAAACACAGGAUAAUGUAAGGAGGACAUUACACAUAAUUAACUAUAUAAAUAAAUACAACUUGGAAGCUGUCUUGGUGGGGUUGGAUGCGGAAAAGGCAUUCGACUCAGUCAAUUGGUCUUUCCUUUACAAGGCAUUAGAAAGAUUUCAAUUCCAUAAAAAAUUUGUGAAGAUAAUACAAACUAUAUACGACAAACCAUGUGCUAGAAUACGGAUUAAUGGAGGACUAUCAAAUUCUUUUAAACUAGGAAGGGGAUGUCGACAGGGCUGCCCUGUUUCCCCGCUCUUAUUUGCUAUUUUUAUAGAGCCCCUCAGUCAGUGGAUAAGACAGAACGAGAAGAUAAGGGGGAUCAGAGUGGCUCAUGUAGAGCACAAAAUUGCCCUAUUCGCAGACGACAUUUUGAUAUACUUGGGACACCCAUCCACUUCUUUUCAAGAACUACUCUCGACCCUGCGGGAAUAUGGACUAUUCUCAGGAUAUAAACUCAACACCCAUAAAUCUCAAAUUUUGACAUUUAAUUAUUCUCCUAGUCAAAAAAUUAGAGCGGAAUUCGAUGUUAACUGGGAAUUAAAAUUAAUCAGGUAUCUAGGUGUGAAUAUUCCAAAAGAUCUACACAUGAUUGUAUCAAAAAACUAUGACCCCCUAAUUUCUAAAAUUAAAUCUGAUGUGACUAGAUGGGACCUAGUGCCAUUCUUAGGGUUGGGACAGAGGGUGGAAGCAAUAAAAAAGAAUGUGCUUCCUAGAUUACUCUAUCUAUUCCAAAAUGUACCUGCAGAAAUUCCAAGGGGAAAAUUCCAGGAAGUAGACAAAUUAAUAUCACGUUUUGUUUGGCAGGGGAAGAGGCCAAGAAUUCGCUUCUCAACUCUCCAACUAGUCAAAGACAAAGGGGGCCUCUCUCUCCCGAACAUCCACAAUUACUACCGAGCAGCACAAAUUAAAGUUCUGGUUGACAUUUGUAAUCCGUCUUAUAAUGCCAGGUGGAAAGAGAUAGAACUACAAAUUUCCAGUGACAUACCGCUACAAGCAAUUAUAGUGGACAGUGGACUGGUUUGUCAUCUUAAAGACACUAAUCCGUGGCUAAGGAUAUCAACUAACAUUUUGCACAAAAUAAUUAGGGAAAAUAAAGCUAAAGAACCAUAUUGGAUCUUGAGAUGGAUAGGAUACGAUUCUGAAUUCAUACCAAAUACACUAGACACAGGUUUCAAAAAGUGGGCAGACAAAGGGUUAACAAAAUACAAUGACCUUUAUGAGGGAGGCACACUGCGACAAUUCCAAGACCUUAAAAAUUGUUUUGGUUUAACCAAUCAGGACUUUUAUAAAUUUUUACAACUUAGGCAUUAUGUACAGAAAAAAAUGAAUAGACAAGAGUGGCAAACAACCAAAUGGGGUAUUCUGAAGAUUUUUCUACUCAGUUUUAGGUCGGACCCUGGUCGUGGAAACAUAUCAAAGAUAUACAAGGUGUUACAAGAGUUAGUGGGGGCGGACACUGCAUACAUAAAGGAGAAAUGGGAGAAAGAGAGUAGUAUAACAAUACACCCGGAGACAUGGGAAAAAAUAUUUGUACAACAAUGGAAAAGUACCUCUUCAAUCUCUUGGAGAGAAUUUGGGUGGAAAAACACAGUUCGUUUUUUUAGAGCUCCAGCUCAAAUGAUCUCUCAAAAUACAUCAUGUUGGAGACUCUGUGGCAACAACAAGGCAACUCAUUUCCACAUGUUCUGGGACUGCCCUACAAUUUCAAAAUAUUGGCAAGACACCAAGACUAUCAUGGAAAAAGUCUUGAGAGUAGCGAUCCCCCUAGAGUUUGAGACCUUAUAUUUGGGGACAAGACCAGACACUGUAAAGGGUUGGAGAAUAAAUACAUGUAUAAUAUUCUUCUACUUGCUAGUAAGAAAGCAAUUACAAGGAGAUGGCUGACAAAAGAUCCACCUUCAGCCAAGGACUGGAUCAAGGUGGUCCAAGAUAUUUAUGACAUGGAGAAGCUAACAUUCAUUCUUAGACUUGAAAAAGACAAGUUUGAGAGUCUAUGGAAAACCUGGACAAACUACAUUAGGGAUCACUUGGAAAAUAAUGGGUAAAAAAAAAAAAAAAAAAAAAAAAAUCUCGGACUCCACUCACAGUUGUUUUUGUGUUUUUUUUUUUUGUUUGUUUUCUGGUAUUUGUUUUCUUUUCUUAUGUUUUUUUUUUUUUUUAUGCCUUUUCAUACUUGCACAAAAUGUGUACUGACAUUAUAAUUAAUAUGUCCGCAGAUUGAUACCUUUGUUAUCUUACUUAUACAUCAUUAUUUAAAAUAUCUUAAAGCUGAGGUGUCUUCCUGCCAUGCGGCCUAAUUGUUUCCAUUUGAAUGACUUUUAAGUAAGAAUGUAUAUAUGCCUUUCUCUUCUUUCUGUUUGUCAGGUAUACAAAAGUGCAAUAUGUAUUUUUGUUCUGUUUUUUUUCUCAUGUUCUUUUAAAUGAAUAAAAAGUUUAAUAUCAAACUCAUGGAUGUCACAGCUGCGUACCGUUGCAGGUAUGGAGGAGACGAGCUGCCAAAGGAAGGAGGUGAUGCAGGACCUGGUGGGAGACGUCAGCAGAUACUGGGUCACCGAGGGACCGUUUGGACGCAUCAGAGCCAGAAACAAAGACACAGUCAUUGACCCACCUGGACUUGUUGCCAACA